This 468-nucleotide ribosomal RNA is filed under the name uncultured bacterium. RNAcentral's name for it is "partial 16S ribosomal RNA". It matches the Rfam family "Bacterial small subunit ribosomal RNA", at positions 28 to 507 of the family's 1533-position model. The record is from RNAcentral.
GACGAACGCUGGCGGCGGGCUUUACACAUGCAAGUCGAACGGAAAGGCCCUGCUUUUGUGGGGUGCUCGAGUGGCGAACGGGUGAGUAACACGUGAGUAACCUGCCCUUGACUUUGGGAUAACUUCAGGAAACUGGGGCUAAUACCGGAUAGGAGCCCCUGCUGCAUGGUGGGUGCUUGAAAGUUUCGGCGGUUGGGGAUGGACUCGCGGCUUAUCAGCUUGUUGGUGGGGUAGUGGCUUACCAAGGAUUUGACUGGUUGUCGGCCUGAGUGGGUGACCGGCCACAUAGGGAACGAGAUACGGCCCAGACUGCUACGGGAGGCAGAAGUGGGGAAGAUUGCACAAUGGGCGGAAGCCUGGUGCAGCAAUGCCGCGUGCGGGAUGACGGACUUCGGGUUGUAAACCGCUUUCGCCUGUGACGAAGCGUGAGUGACGGUAAUGGGUAAAGAAGCACCGGCUAGCUACGUG